GACGAACGCUGGCGGCGUGCUUAACACAUGCAAGUCGAACGAGACGAAUUAGAAGCUUGCUUUUGACGAGUCGAGUGGCAAACGGGUGAGUAACGCGUAGACAACCUGCCGCAAAGAUGGGGACAACAGUCCGAAAGGACUGCUAAUACCGCAUGAUACAGCGAGGAGGCAUCUCUUUGCUGUCAAAGAUUUAUCGCUGAAAGAUGGGCUCGCGUAUGAUUAGAUAGUUGGUGAGGUAACGGCUCACCAAGUCGACGAUCAUUUAGCCGGACUGAGAGGUUGAACGGCCACAUUGGGACUGAGAACACGGCCCAGACUCCUACGGGAGGCAGCAGUGAGGAAUAUUGGUCAAUGGGCGCAGGCCUGAACCAGCCAAGUCGCGUGAGGGAUGACGGUCUACGGAUUG
Molecule: ribosomal RNA, 406 nt
Filed under: uncultured bacterium
Lineage: Bacteria
Description: bacterial SSU rRNA
Rfam family: Bacterial small subunit ribosomal RNA
Source: RNAcentral